Molecule: long non-coding RNA, 466 nt
Filed under: Androctonus crassicauda
Lineage: Eukaryota; Metazoa; Arthropoda; Arachnida; Scorpiones; Buthidae
Source: RNAcentral
UUUCUAGUGAUUCUGCCCAUUCUGAUCAGGGCUUUUAGACACUUGGUAUGUUGGGGCUUGUUGCCACUGAAAAGUUCGUGACCACAGAUGGCCACAGUGUCUUCCUCCAAGGAAACUCGAAGCCAGAAAUGAACAUUCUUGGUCGCAGAUAACUGGGUUAUGACAGCAUGCAAAGGUCCACUGCUCAUAGACCACCUGUGACUCCAGCCCCUUCCCCUAUAGCAGCAUGUUUACUGAUUGGCAACUUGUGCUUAGGUAGUGGAAUCUGUUUUCCCUGUAACCAUGAGCCCAAGAUGGAAAAAAGAAAGCCGUGUAUCUUAUGAAUGGCCUUAUCUGUUUCCUGGGUAAUACCUUUAAGAAUAAUGUUGUGCAGAGAUUGUCUUUCACUUGAGGAGUAAGUACUCAGUGUUUGGGUUCUUCCUAGCUCGGGGCUUUAAAAUUUUGAAAUCUAAACAUUCUUUCCCAC